This 2154-nucleotide long non-coding RNA is filed under the name Equus caballus (horse). RNAcentral's name for it is "lncRNA (ENSECAG00000057373.1)". The record is from RNAcentral. Lineage: Eukaryota; Metazoa; Chordata; Mammalia; Perissodactyla; Equidae.
UGGAUACAGUGAGCCUGUGCUGAAUGCAGUGCGCCUGCAGUGCGACUUCACCUUUAUGCAGUGUCCCUGCAGUUGUUGCAGUGCCCACUGCAUUGUCCAAGAACGUGGAUGCAGUGCCCAGGCUUUGGAUGCAGUUUGCCACAAGGUGCAAGCAAUAUGUUGUGACGGAGGAUGCAGUGCCCAUGAGGGUGGAUGCAGUGAUCCAGCAGUGGUUACAGUGCACCCUGCUGUGUCCCUGAAUGUGCAUGCUCUGAACAUGCAGUGGAUGCAGUGAUCCUGCAGUGAUUGCAGUGCACCUGUAUUUCCACAUGAGCUGGAAGCAGUGUCCCUGCAGGGGCUGCAUUUGUGUCUUGUGUGUCCCUGAAGGUGAAUGCAGUGCCCAUACGGUGGAUGCAGUGUACCUAAACGUUUAUGCAGUAUGUUGUGACAGAGGAUGCAGUGCCCAUGAAGGGGGAUGCAGUGUCCCUCCAGUGGUUGCAGUGCCUCUGGCAUUGUCCUGAAAUGUUGAGGCAGUGCCUAUGCAGUGGAUGCAGAGAAUCUUCAAUGAUUGCAGGGCACUUGCAGUGAUACUUCAGCUGGAUGCAGUGUAGCUGCAGUGGUUGCAGAGCCCCCAGCCAUGUCCCUGAAUGUGGAUGCUGUGCCCACACAGUGUGUGCAGAGUGACUCAACGUGAAUGCAGUAUGUUGUAAAGAAGGAUUCAGUGCCCAUGAAGGAUGAUGCAGUGAUCCUGCAGUCAUUGCAGUGCACCUGCAGUGCCACUUCAUCUGGAUGCAGUGUCCCUGCAGUAGUUGCAGUCCACCCUGCUGUGUCCCUGAAUGUGUUUGCUGUGAACAUGCAGUGGAUGCAGUGAUACUCCAGUGAUUGCAGUGCCACUUCAGCUGCAUGCAGUGUUGCUGCAGUGGUUGCAGAGCCCACUGCAUUGUCCCUGAGCUUGGAUGCACUGCCCAUGCAGUGGAUGCAGUGUCCCACAAUGUGCAUGCAGUAUGUUGUUAUGGAGGAUGCAGUGCCCAUGAAGGGGGAUGCAGUGAUCCUGCCGUGGUUGCAGGGCCGCCUGCAGUUUACCUCAAUGUGGAUGCAGUGCUCAUGCAGUGGAUGGAGAGUCCCACAAGGUGGAUGCCUUAUGUUGUGAUGGAGGAUUCAGUGAAAAUAAAGGAAGAUGCAGUGAUCCUGCAGUCAUUACAGUGCACCUGCAGUGCCACUUCAACUGGCUGCAGUGUCCCUGCAGUGGUUCCAGUGCCCCGAUCUGUGUCCCUGAAUGUGCAUGCCGUGCCCAUGCAGUGGAUGCACAGUACCAAAGGUUGGUUGCCGUAUGUUGUGACAGUGCACGCAGUGCUCACGUGUUGGAUGCAAUGAGCUGGCAGUGAUUGCAGUACGUCUUCACUGCCACUUCAGCUGGCUCCAGUGUCCCUGCAGUGGUUCCAGUGCCCUGAUCUGUGUCCCUGAAUGUGGAUGCCGUGCCCAUGCCAUGGAUGCAGAGUACCAAAGGUUGGUUGCUGUAUGUUGUAACAGUGCAUGCAGUGCUCACGUAUUAGAUGCAGUGAGCUGGCAGUGAUUGCAGUACGCCUUCACUGCCACUUCAGCUGGAUGCAGUGUCAUUGCAGUGGUUGCAGUGCCCCCUGCAUUGUCCUGGCUUGUGGAUGCAGUGCUCAUGCAGAUUAUGCAGUGUCACACAAAGUGGAGGCAUUGUGGUGUAUUGUAGUAUGUAGUGCUGAUGAAUGUGAUUGCAGUGAUCCUGCAGUGAUGGCAGUGCGCCUGCAGUGCCACUUCAGCUGGAUGCAGAGCUGCUGCACUGGUUGCAGUGCCCUUGUAUUGUCUGGUAAUGUGGAUAUUGAGCCCAGGCAGUGGAUGCAGUGUCCCAUUGGGUGGAUGCAGUAUCUUAUGAUGGAUGAUGCAGUUCUCAUGAAGGUGGAUGCAGUGUCCCUGCAGUGCUUGCAUUGACCCUGCAUUGUCCGGGAAGGUGGAUGCCGUAGUCAUGCAGUGGAUGCAGUGUCCCACAAGGUGGAUGCAGUAUGUUGUGAGGGAGGAUGCAAGGCCCCUGAUGGUGGAUGCAGUGAUGCUGCAGUGGUGGCAGUGCCCCCUACAGUUCCCUGAAUGUGGAUGCAGUGCCCAUGUGGUAGUUGCAGUGUCCCACAAGGUGGAUGUCUUAUGUUGUGA